This 468-nucleotide ribosomal RNA is filed under the name uncultured bacterium. RNAcentral's name for it is "partial 16S ribosomal RNA". It matches the Rfam family "Bacterial small subunit ribosomal RNA", at positions 28 to 507 of the family's 1533-position model. The record is from RNAcentral.
GAUGAACGCUGGCGGCGUGCUUAACACAUGCAAGUCGAACGGUGAAGGCGGAGCUUGCUCUGCUGGAUCAGUGGCGAACGGGUGAGUAACACGUGAGUAAUCUGCCCCUGACUCUGGGAUAAGCGCUGGAAACGGCGUCUAAUACCGGAUACGAGCUGCGAAGGCAUCUUCAGCAGCUGGAAAGUAUUUCGGUGAGGGAUGAGCUCGCGGCCUAUCAGCUUGUUGGUGAGGUAGUGGCUUACCAAGGCGUCGACGGGUAGCCGGCCUGAGAGGGUGACCGGCCACACUGGGACUGAGACACGGCCCAGACUCCUACGGGAGGCAGCAGUGGGGAAUAUUGCACAAUGGGCGAAAGCCUGAUGCAGCAACGCCGCGUGAGGGACGACGGCCUUCGGGUUGUAAACCGCUUUUAGCAGGGAAGAAGCGAAAGUGACGGUACCUGCAGAAAAAGCGCCGGCUAACUACGUG